UACGUAGGCAGCGAGCGUUGUUCGGAAUUACUGGGCGUAAAGAGUGUGUAGGCGGCGCUCUAAGUUCGGUGUGAAAUCUCUCGGCUUAACUGGGAGGGUGCGCCGGAAACUGGAGUGCUCGAACGUGGGAGAGGAAAGCGGAAUUCCUGGUGUAGCGGUGGAAUGCGUAGAUAUCAGGAGGAACACCUGCGGUGUAGACGGCUUUCUGGACCAUUGUUGACGCUGAGACACGAAAGCGUGGGUAGCAAACAGG
RNAcentral lists this ribosomal RNA (253 nucleotides) under uncultured bacterium. RNAcentral's name for it is "partial 16S ribosomal RNA". It matches the Rfam family "Bacterial small subunit ribosomal RNA", at positions 524 to 776 of the family's 1533-position model. The record is from RNAcentral.